Molecule: ribosomal RNA, 406 nt
Filed under: uncultured bacterium
Lineage: Bacteria
Description: partial 16S ribosomal RNA
Rfam family: Bacterial small subunit ribosomal RNA
Source: RNAcentral
AUUGAACGCUGGCGGCAGGCCUAACACAUGCAAGUCGGGCGAGAGGCGGACGGAAGAGCAAGGUAUGGGGAUGUGCGUGAUGGAGGGGGAUAAGUACUGGAAGCGGUAGCUAAAUCCGCAUACUAUCGGAUGAACCCAAAUGGGAUUAGCUAGUAGGUGGGGCAAAGGCCCACCUAGGCGACGAACUGUAGCUGGUCUGAGAGGAUGAUCAGCCAAACUGGGACUGAGACACGGCCCAGACUCCUACGGGAGGCAGCAGUGGGGAAUAUUGCACAAUGGGCGCAAGCCUGAUGCAGCCAUGCCGCGUGUAUGAAGAAGGCCUUCGGAUUGUAAAGUACUUUCAGCUGGGAGGCGUUACCCGCAGAAGAAGCACCGGCUAACUCCGUGCCAGCCGCCGCGGUAAUAC